GACGAACGCUGGCGGCGUGCUUAACACAUGCAAGUCGAACGGAAAGGCCCUGCUUUUGUGGGGUGCUCGAGUGGCGAACGGGUGAGUAACACGUGAGUAACCUGCCCUUGACUUUGGGAUAACUUCAGGAAACUGGGGCUCAUAUCGGAUAGGAGCUCCUGCUGCAUGGUGGGCGUUGGUAAGUUUCGGCGGUUGGGGAUGGACUCGCGGCUUAUCAGCUUGUUGGUGGGGUAGUGGCUUACCAAGGCUUUGACGGGUAGCCGGCCUGAGAGGGUGACCGGGCACAUGGGGACUGAGAUACGGCCCAGACUCCUACGGGAGGCAGAAGUGGGGAAUAUUGCACAAUGGGCGGAAGCGUGAUGCAGCAACGCCGCGUGCGGGAUGACGGCCUUCGGGUUGUAAACCGCUUUCGCCUGUGACGAAGCGGGAGUGACGGUAAUGGGUAAAGAAGCACCGGCUAACUACGUG
This 468-nucleotide ribosomal RNA is filed under the name uncultured bacterium. RNAcentral's name for it is "partial 16S ribosomal RNA". It matches the Rfam family "Bacterial small subunit ribosomal RNA", at positions 28 to 507 of the family's 1533-position model. The record is from RNAcentral.